This 466-nucleotide ribosomal RNA is filed under the name uncultured Desulfomicrobiaceae bacterium. RNAcentral describes it as "bacterial SSU rRNA". It matches the Rfam family "Bacterial small subunit ribosomal RNA", at positions 338 to 795 of the family's 1533-position model. The record is from RNAcentral. Lineage: Bacteria; Pseudomonadati; Thermodesulfobacteriota; Desulfovibrionia; Desulfovibrionales; Desulfomicrobiaceae.
CCUACGGGGGGCUGCAGUGGGGAAUAUUGGGCAAUGGGCGCAAGCCUGACCCAGCAACGCCGUGUGAGGGAUGAAGGCCUUCGGGUCGUAAACCUCUGUCAGAAGGGAAGAAUGGGCACAGUUCGAAUAGGGCUGUGUUGUGACGGUACCUUCAGAGGAAGCACCGGCUAACUCCGUGCCAGCAGCCGCGGUAAUACGGAGGGUGCGAGCGUUAUUCGGAAUCACUGGGCGUAAAGGGCGCGUAGGCGGCCUGGUAAGUCAGGGGUGAAAUCCCACGGCUCAACCGUGGAAUUGCCUUUGAAACUGCUGGGCUUGGAUCCUGGAGAGGGUGGCGGAAUUCCUGGUGUAGGAGUGAAAUCCGUAGAUAUCAGGAGGAACACCGGUGGCGAAGGCGGCCACCUGGACAGGUAUCGACGCUGAGGCGCGAAAGUGUGGGGAGCAAACAGGAUUAGAUACCCUUGUAGUC